UUCACCAGAUUUGCAUAUAAGUUUAAUAUAAACACUGACAAGGCCUAGAAACAGUGCAACAGUGACAGCUGAAUACCAGUGAACAGUUUUAGCAUCCAGAUUAAAUACUAUUUUCCACUAGGGUAACCCAUGGCUUCUUGGAUAAAUAAUAAAUGGCUUAUUUCAGGUCUGAAGGAGAUGGAAAACAUAAGCCUGGAAUUUUUUUUUUUUUUUUUUUUUUUUUUUUAAAGAGACAAGGUCCUACUGUGUUCCCCAGGCUUGAUUUGAAUUUAUAGGCUCAAGCAAUCCUCCUACCUCAGCCUCCUGAGUAGUGGGGAAUACAGUUGUGCACCACUGUACCUGGCUAGAGCCUGGAGCAUCUUACUUAAGAAAUCAAGGAUGCUGUGAAACACUCUUGGGAUCAUAUCAAACAGCAUAGUUGAAGGGGAGGACUUGGGCACUUUCAUGUAUAGGACAGCAUGUGUGGGAUGUCUGCAUUAGCUGGGCCUGGCCUGUGGAUGGCAUGGGGAAAAGCAGAGGCUGCUGAGAGUGGCUAACUACAGAGAUCAAAAAUUCCCAGCUUGGGCCUUGAUGAUGCAUUCACUUGUGGUGGGUGGGUGCAAUAAUAGUUGGUUGACAACACAUUUAAGCAGUGAGAGAGUAUAUGGGCUUCAGCACCUAGGAUGUAUACAAUGUAAAUGCAUGCAGCCUGUCUCUGGCCUAAUAGAUGGCUUUUGACUCUUCAAAUCCUGAUAGUCAAGUCUUAAUAAAAUAAAAUAAUAAAUGUA
RNAcentral lists this long non-coding RNA (767 nucleotides) under Homo sapiens (human). Its description in RNAcentral is "HSALNT0250876". Lineage: Eukaryota; Metazoa; Chordata; Mammalia; Primates; Hominidae. The record is from RNAcentral.